GACGAACGCUGGCGGCGUGCCUAACACAUGCAAGUCAACUUGACUGAAGGAGCAAUCUGACAGUAGAGUGGCGCAAGGGUGCGUAACGCGUAAGUAACUUGCCCCAAGGUAAGGAAUAACGUCGAGAAAUCGGCGCUAAUACUUCAUAAUGCAGCGGAUCCGCAUGGAUAUGUUGUUAAAGGUUUACCGCCUUGGGAUAGGCUUGCGUCUGAUUAGCUAGUUGGUGUGGUAACGGCACACCAAGGCUACGAUCAGUAACUGGUCUGAGAGGAUGAUCAGUCACACUGGAACUGAGACACGGUCCAGACUCCUACGGGAGGCAGCAGUGAGGAAUAUUGGGCAAUGCUCGAAAGAGUGACCCAGCAACGCCGCGUGGAGGAUGAAGGUAUUCUAUAUCGUAAACUCCUGUGAGAGCAGACGAAAGACAGAUUAUUAAUCUGGAUGACUGUAUGCUCAGAGGAAGCCCCGGCUAACUACG
This 478-nucleotide ribosomal RNA is filed under the name uncultured bacterium. Its description in RNAcentral is "bacterial SSU rRNA". It matches the Rfam family "Bacterial small subunit ribosomal RNA", at positions 28 to 505 of the family's 1533-position model. The record is from RNAcentral.